UUUGAAAGGGAAACGAUUGAAGUCAGUCAUACCGGUGGGUAAUCAGCCUCUUGGGUGCGAUUAUGUGGGGCGUGAGGAGUUAAUCACCCUCAUCUUUACAUAUUCGUGCUCUUUGGGUGUACUUGCUCGUGUGGUAGGUUAACAUCAAUUUUGGUCGUCAUAAAAUAAUCGGAGGAAUGUAGCUUCGAUCUCGUAUUGAAGUGUUAUAGCCUUCGGUAUAUGUGAUGAUUAGGAUUGAGGAUUGCAACGGAUACCCUUCGGGGCUACCUGUCUGAUCUCUGAAAGUUGCUCUGGUGCUGAAAGCUUGCUUACAGUAUCAAA
Molecule: ribosomal RNA, 321 nt
Filed under: uncultured Glomeromycotina
Lineage: Eukaryota; Fungi; Glomeromycota
Description: eukaryotic LSU rRNA
Source: RNAcentral